GUUCCGUAGGUGAACCUGCGGAAGGAUCAUUAACACUAAACUUAGUAUCCAAACCUUCUUUGGAGCAACCAACCUUCUAAGCGAACCUAUUGGCACUUUUCCUUGCCACUUAUCAUUUAUUUUAACCACUCUGAUUAUCUUUGUGUCUGAUUAACUUUUUUUUCCUUCGCAUCCGAAAGUAUGGGUGAGGAAAACAAACAAAUCUAAACGCAAUACAACUCUUAACAACGGAUAUCUUGGCUCUC
Molecule: unclassified non-coding RNA, 245 nt
Filed under: plant metagenome
Description: partial contains small subunit ribosomal RNA, internal transcribed spacer 1, and 5.8S ribosomal RNA
Source: RNAcentral